AGUUCUGGGGGUCGUCCGAUCCUGCAGAGACCGUCCAGGCUGGACUUGAACUCCUUCCUCGGCUGAAGUGAUCCUCCUGCCUCAGCGUCCUGAAUAGGUAGGACUACAACUGUGAGUCACUUUACUCAACCAGAAAUGGUGAAUGAUAAAAAAUGUUUAUAGAUCAUUGCUUCUAAAAAGACUAUAUUAGACACACUGUGGUACCCAAAACCAAAUGCUAGCUACUUUUUAACUCAAAAAUAAUUAGUCAGCUAAUGAUCUAUAUUUUGCUUUACAGUUUAACUUGACGAGUAGAAAAAUGUCAAGGUAUAAGACAAUGCAAAAUGUAGGGACAAAGAAGAAAACUUCCCCUUUCACCCUCUGAAGGUUUGCUGAAAAUGAACUGAAAAAGGCAGAGCAACAGGAGAAAAGGCAUGCGUUUAUUUUAACGUGCAUACCAUGGGGAAUUGCAGAAGAGUAAUGGCCUAAUAACCCAGCAGGGUCCAGAUGCCUGUCUACCCUCUCUUCUUAGGGAAGGCGGGGAUGAGGUGUGUAGGAGUAAAUGACAAAAGUUCCUCUGAGCUCUGGGGGAGGUGUUGGGAAGGUGAGG
Molecule: long non-coding RNA, 589 nt
Filed under: Homo sapiens (human)
Lineage: Eukaryota; Metazoa; Chordata; Mammalia; Primates; Hominidae
Description: EDRF1 divergent transcript
Source: RNAcentral